RNAcentral lists this transfer RNA (93 nucleotides) under Candidatus Fermentibacterota bacterium. Its description in RNAcentral is "tRNA-Ser". It matches the Rfam family "tRNA". Rfam says of the family: Transfer RNA (tRNA) molecules are approximately 80 nucleotides in length. Their secondary structure includes four short double-helical elements and three loops (D, anti-codon, and T loops). Further hydrogen bonds mediate the characteristic L-shaped molecular structure. tRNAs have two regions of fundamental functional importance: the anti-codon, which is responsible for specific mRNA codon recognition, and the 3' end, to which the tRNAs corresponding amino acid is attached (by aminoacyl-tRNA synthetases). tRNAs cope with the degeneracy of the genetic code in two manners: having more than one tRNA (with a specific anti-codon) for a particular amino acid; and 'wobble' base-pairing, i.e. permitting non-standard base-pairing at the 3rd anti-codon position. The record is from RNAcentral. Lineage: Bacteria; Pseudomonadati; Candidatus Fermentibacterota.
GGAGAGGUGGCCGAGUGGCUGAAGGCAACCGCCUGCUAAGCGGUUGACGGGCCAAAAGCUUGUCCGGGGGUUCGAAUCCCCCCCUCUCCGCCA